CAAAUAGGUCUAAAUAACCUGAAGGCACAAGAUCCCAUGUGGUCUUGGACUCUAGACAGGGUCAGCCAUAGUUAGUAUUUGAAUGGGAGACUACCAAAAAAACUUAUGGGCUUAUAUGG
This 119-nucleotide ribosomal RNA is filed under the name Anolis carolinensis (green anole). Lineage: Eukaryota; Metazoa; Chordata; Lepidosauria; Squamata; Anolidae. The record is from RNAcentral.